Molecule: ribosomal RNA, 254 nt
Filed under: uncultured bacterium
Lineage: Bacteria
Description: partial 16S ribosomal RNA
Rfam family: Bacterial small subunit ribosomal RNA
Source: RNAcentral
UACGUAGGGUCCGAGCGUUGUCCGGAAUUAUUGGGCGUAAAGAGCUCGUAGGCGGUGUGUCACGUCGGCCGUGAAAACCUGCAGCUUAACUGUGGGCGUGCGGUCGAUACGGGCAUCACUGGAGUUCGGCAGGGGAGACUGGAAUUCCUGGUGUAGCGGUGAAAUGCGCAGAUAUCAGGAGGAACACCGGUGGCGAAGGCGGGUCUCUGGGCCGAUACUGACGCUGAGGAGCGCAAGCGUGGGGAGCAAACAGG